This 447-nucleotide ribosomal RNA is filed under the name uncultured Pseudomonas sp. RNAcentral's name for it is "bacterial SSU rRNA". It matches the Rfam family "Bacterial small subunit ribosomal RNA", at positions 517 to 962 of the family's 1533-position model. The record is from RNAcentral. Lineage: Bacteria; Pseudomonadati; Pseudomonadota; Gammaproteobacteria; Pseudomonadales; Pseudomonadaceae.
GCGGUAAUACGAAGGGUGCAAGCGUUACUCGGAAUUACUGGGCGUAAAGCGUGCGUAGGUGGUCGUUUAAGUCCGUUGUGAAAGCCCUGGGCUCAACCUGGGAACUGCAGUGGAUACUGGGCGACUAGAGUGUGGUAGAGGGUAGCGGAAUUCCUGGUGUAGCAGUGAAAUGCGUAGAGAUCAGGAGGAACAUCCAUGGCGAAGGCAGCUACCUGGACCAACACUGACACUGAGGCACGAAAGCGUGGGGAGCAAACAGGAUUAGAUACCCUGGUAGUCCACGCCCUAAACGAUGCGAACUGGAUGUUGGGUGCAAUUUGGCACGCAGUAUCGAAGCUAACGCGUUAAGUUCGCCGCCUGGGGAGUACGGUCGCAAGACUGAAACUCAAAGGAAUUGAUGGGGGCCCGCACAAGCGGUGGAGUAUGUGGUUUAAUUCGAUGCAACGC